UACGAAGGGGGCUAGCGUUGCUCGGAAUCACUGGGCGUAAAGCGAACGUAGGCGGAUCUUUAAGUCAGGGGUGAAAUCCCAAGGCUCAACCUUGGAACUGCCUUUGAUACUGGGGAUCUCGAGUCCGGAAGAGGUGAGUGGAACUGCGAGUGUAGAGGUGAAAUUCGUAGAUAUUCGCAAGAACACCAGUGGCGAAGGCGGCUCACUGGUCCGGUACUGACGCUGAGGUGCGAAAGCGUGGGGAGCAAACAGG
This 253-nucleotide ribosomal RNA is filed under the name uncultured bacterium. RNAcentral describes it as "partial 16S ribosomal RNA". It matches the Rfam family "Bacterial small subunit ribosomal RNA", at positions 524 to 776 of the family's 1533-position model. The record is from RNAcentral.